Cryptomeria japonica (Japanese cedar) is the source of this 2284-nucleotide long non-coding RNA. RefSeq lists it as uncharacterized. Lineage: Eukaryota; Viridiplantae; Streptophyta; Pinopsida; Cupressales; Cupressaceae. The transcript has 3 exons. The record is from RefSeq and is a predicted model, not a curated record.
AAAAGACUGAUUUUCCCGACCUUAGGCCGACCAGGAAACAAUAUUUUCCAAAUUGCAAACUAAAAGACCCGAGGUCCCAAAAGAGACCGGGCCCAAAAUAGGGCUAGGGACCAGGGCGCUGGGCGCUCUGGCCCACCUCCCGGGACAGCAGGGUGCAAGGAGGAUCAGGCCAGGGUGCUGGAAAAAUGCAGUUUUUGAUGUCAUGAGCAAGUUUCGGGGUCUCCAUUCAGGUUCAGUGUUGCGUCGCCAUCGUGAAGACCCAAAUGCGGUCGAAAUUGCAAGUGUCGCAAUUUUAAGAUGCUACAAGUUGAUACUCACCUUUCACUUUUUCAUGCCCAUUACAUUGAAUUAUAUUUUUUAAGACAGAUCUUAUUUGAGCUCUCUUUUUAAUAAGAAAUUUGUAUGAAUAUUAUGACAGCUGAGCCACUUAAAGGUUAAAACUGAUAGAAGGGAGGAGUUUGCUUAACAAGGAAGUUUCUAUGGAUAUCAAUCUCGUGUCCAAAUAACGCUUCUGAUAGAGGGUGAAAAAAAGUAAGUUAAUGUCUUAGAUUGUUAGGAAAUUAAAUUAGGUAGUCUUCCGGAGUAGGUUUUGAAGUGGAAAAUGUACAACUAGUAAAUUAAAGUCAAACGCGGGAUUUAAAGAACUAAAGAACGUUGUUUGCUAAUCUCAUGUCCUGUAUUUAUUUUUUUCACGGACAAUCGGUAUUAUUCAGUUUGUUGCAGAGAGUAUUUGAUAUGUUGCAAGUAUUUUUGCUUUUCGUUAGAUUACAUUUUUGUUACAACCUUAAUAAAAUGUUAAUUAUUACUGGCAGAAAGUACUCUUGAUAAAAAAAUUAAAAAAGGACUGUUAUGAACGACAGGAACAAUGAACUGGUGGAUAUUGGCUCAUAACUCUUUGAGUGGCACCAUCCCAAAUUUGAGUCAUAACUCUUUGAGUGGCACCAUCCCAACCUUCUUAUGAAAGGUACAGACACAAAACAGUUCCUUCAAUGCCAAAUCAGAAUAUAGUUGAUAAAUGCUUAAAUUCCAACAAAAGUUUUAUGGAGCAUGUAAUUCAGUUUUUUGUUGAACAGAGAUGAUUUGAUUCAUCACAAUGUAUUAGCCAUUAUGUCUUCAAAAAUAAAUUAGACAAAGAUGCCAAAAUAUGGGGACUCAUAAAUGGAAUAAGCAGGUUCAAUGGCCAUAAGCAGGUUGGAGGGAAAGAAAAAGAGUAGUGUUGGUGUCAUUGGACACAAUCAAUGUUACAAUGUGUCUUGAUAUGCCUAAGAACACAAUGUUUGAGGAGUUGUUUCUAGUCAUCCACUUCAUCAUCCAUCUUGAAAUUCCAAUUCUAGGAAAUGCACCAGAAAUAGACUUAACAAUUUUGGUAUGGCUUUUAUUAUUGAUCUCAAUCUUUGUUUUCUGGGACAAGGUCAAUUUUUUAAUGCUUUUAUUCUAUUAGAAUUAUGCAUUUUUCAUUUAGAGUUUUUUUAAACCAGCAUAACCAUUGUUAUGGGAUUCAGCCAGUGGGUUAUUGACUCACCAUCCGAUGUUAGUGGCCAGGAAAUACCUUCCUCCUUUACAAGAGGGAUUAUUUGGUUCAGUGUCUCAAACAUCGGAGCAAAUAAGUUUCAAUCUUAAAUUUCAGGUUCAGUUGCUUCCUUAAAUUUCUCAAAUUAAGGAAGAUAGUUUCAACCUGCUGAAGCAUUAAAGCAAGAACAGUAAGCCAAGUAUCAUAUUAUUUCAACUUUGACUUUUAUGAGAUAUCUGUUGUACAAAGAAGAUUUCUCACCUCUUUCAUUCCAAGAGGAGCACAGUAGCAAUGAUAGAAGCUCACAGAUUUUUUAUGUGCCUCUUUCAUCUUUAUUAGUCAAAUGCCCUGUUCCGGCCUUUUGUCAAGCAAGAGCAGGGAUUGAGUUAUUUCUAUUUUUCAGUUUUAUGGAGUAUCAUCCCUAUUGUAUUCAGGGCGGCAACACCCAGAAGAGUGCAUGUUGUACAAAGAAGAUUUCCCACCUUCUGCUUUCCGUUCCAAUGAUGAUUGAAUAAAAGCAAUUCAUCAUUUGUUUGUCUGAAUCCAAGCAAGAGCAGAAUGUAAAUUUUGACGACAUGCAUGUUCAACAUCAGUUCGAAGCACCUGUUUUUCGUUUUCAAGCUUUUUUCUUCAAUAAAACAGCAGUUUGCAAGCAAGAUUUGUAUGCAUAUUUUUUUAAAGCUGUGAUGUUAGUUUUUUCUCUCAAGCUGAACAGCAUAUAUGCUCAAUAACUUGUAAGGAGUUAGUCAGUUGAGAUAAUGCAUUAAGUUCUUC